RNAcentral lists this long non-coding RNA (249 nucleotides) under Nicotiana benthamiana. RNAcentral's name for it is "long non-coding RNA (NBEN_LNC001246)". The record is from RNAcentral. Lineage: Eukaryota; Viridiplantae; Streptophyta; Magnoliopsida; Solanales; Solanaceae.
GGUUUUACAAAAGGGUAAGGAAAGAAAUUUAGUCCCCAAUUAAUAUAUCACAUAAUAGCGGCACAUGGUGAUGGGUUUCAUCAGUUCAUAACACUGAAAGUUUGACCUACAUUGUGAGAUGGAAUUGAUUCUGCCUUUUAGUAUAUGCAGUUGAUGUUAUUUUUUAAUCUAUUAACGUUACCUGGACACAACUCCAAAUACAUAAUCCUUUUGCCAACAUACUGAAUUAUAUUUUAUCAUAUUCCUUAU